This 467-nucleotide ribosomal RNA is filed under the name uncultured bacterium. RNAcentral's name for it is "partial 16S ribosomal RNA". It matches the Rfam family "Bacterial small subunit ribosomal RNA", at positions 28 to 507 of the family's 1533-position model. The record is from RNAcentral.
GAUGAACGCUGGCGGCGUGCUUAACACAUGCAAGUCGAACGGAAAGGCCCAAGCUUGCUUGGGUACUCGAGUGGCGAACGGGUGAGUAACACGUGGGUGAUCUGCCCUGCACUUCGGGAUAAGCCUGGGAAACUGGGUCUAAUACUGGAUAGGACCACUUCUUGGAUGUUGUGGUGGAAAGUUUUUUCGGUGUGGGAUGAGCUCGCGGCCUAUCAGCUUGUUGGUGGGGUAAUGGCCUACCAAGGCGUCGACGGGUAGCCGGCCUGAGAGGGUGUACGGCCACAUUGGGACUGAGAUACGGCCCAGACGCCUACGGGAGGCAGCAGUGGGGAAGAUUGCACAAGGGGCGCAAGCCUGAUGCAGCGACGCCGCGUGGGGGAUGACGGCCUUCGGGUUGUAAACUCCUUUCGCUAGGGACGAAGCGUUUUGUGACGGUACCUGGAGAAGAAGCACCGGCUAACUACGUG